GAUGAACGCUGGCGGCGUGCCUAAUACAUGCAAGUCGAGCGGAAGGACGAGAAGCUUGUUUCUCUGAUGUUAGCGGCGGGCGGGUGAGUAACACGUGGAUAACCUCCCUAUCUGACUGGGAUAACUACGGGAAACCGGAGCUAAUACCAGAUGAUAUUUUGCACCGCAUGGUUCAAUAGUGAAAGACGGUCUUGCUGUCACUGAUAGAUGGUUCCGUGCUGCAUUAGCUAGUUGGUAAGGUAACGGCUUUCCAAGGCAACGAUGCAUAGCCGACCUGAGAGAGUGAUCGGCGACACUAGAAGUGGGACACGGUCCAGACUCCUACGGGAGGCAGCAGUAGGGAACCUUCCGCAAUAGGCGAGAGCCUGACGGAGCAACGCGGCGUGAGUUGUGGAGGUCUUCGGAUCUGAAAACUCUGUUAUUAGGGAAGAACAUAUUUGUAAGUAGCUGUAGACAUCUUGACGGUACCUGGUCAAAAAGCCACGGCUAACUACGUG
Molecule: ribosomal RNA, 497 nt
Filed under: uncultured bacterium
Lineage: Bacteria
Description: partial 16S ribosomal RNA
Rfam family: Bacterial small subunit ribosomal RNA
Source: RNAcentral